Non-coding RNA from Gossypium raimondii (Peruvian cotton), 133 nucleotides. NCBI's taxonomy places the organism in Eukaryota, Viridiplantae, Streptophyta, Magnoliopsida, Malvales, Malvaceae. The record is from Rfam.
UGUUAAAAAUUUCAUCAAUUUGAACUAUUAAAAACUGAUGCGACUAACGAAAUAACCAAACAGUGAUAGGCAUACCUCAUGCUGACGUAUAGUGAGCAGUAUUUAACAAUAGAAAUGGAUGAAACUUUUAAUA